AGUGAACGCUGGCGGUAGGCCUAACACAUGCAAGUCGAACGGCAGCACCGUAAGAGCUUGCUCUUACGGGUGGCGCGUGGCGGACGGGUGAGGUAUACAUCGGAAUCUACUUUUUCGUGGGGGAUAACGUCGGGAAACUUACGCUAAUACCGCAUACGACCUACGGGUGAAAGCAGGGGAUCUUCGGACCUUGCGCGAUUGAAUGAGCCGAUGUCGGCUUCGCUAGUUGGCGGGGUACAGGGCCACCACGGCGACGAUCCGUAGCUGGUCUGAGAGGAUGAUCAGCCACACGGGAACUGAGACACGGUCGAGACUCUGACGGGAGGCAGCAGUGGGGAAUAUUGGACAAUGGGGGAGAGGCUGAUCCAGCCAUACCGCGUGGGGGAAGAAGGCGUUCGGGUUGUAAAGCGAUUUUGUUGGGAGAGAAAAGCAGCAGGUUAAUACCGGGCUGUACUGACGGUACCCAAAGAAUAAGCACCGGCUAACUUCGUG
Molecule: ribosomal RNA, 492 nt
Filed under: uncultured bacterium
Lineage: Bacteria
Description: partial 16S ribosomal RNA
Rfam family: Bacterial small subunit ribosomal RNA
Source: RNAcentral